RNAcentral lists this ribosomal RNA (253 nucleotides) under uncultured bacterium. RNAcentral describes it as "partial 16S ribosomal RNA". It matches the Rfam family "Bacterial small subunit ribosomal RNA", at positions 524 to 776 of the family's 1533-position model. The record is from RNAcentral.
AACGUAGGUUCCGAGCGUUAUCCGGAUUUACUGGGCGUAAAGCGCGUUCAGGCGGUUUGGCAAGUCGGGCAUGAAAUCCCUCGGCUUAACCGAGGAACUGCCGUCCAAACUGCUUCGCUUGAGACCGGGAGAGGUGAGUGGAAUUCCCAGUGUAGCGGUGAAAUGCGUAGAUAUUGGGAGGAACACCAGUGGCGAAGGCGGCUCACUGGACCGGUACUGACGCUGAUGCGCGAAAGCGUGGGGAGCAAACGGG